Pseudonaja textilis is the source of this 169-nucleotide non-coding RNA. Lineage: Eukaryota; Metazoa; Chordata; Lepidosauria; Squamata; Elapidae. The record is from RefSeq and is a predicted model, not a curated record.
ACGCAAUUCCUAGGGUUGGUCGAAAGGCUGUGGCAUCUCCAAAUUAAAAUAGGAAUUUUCAUUAACAAUCCUACAUGGUGCGCAUUCGGACUGCGUUUCAAUCGCUGAUCGUCGCAAGGAACCUGAGUUUAUCAGCAAAGGCCCGAACGGAGGGCCAAACGAAAAAAAA